UCCGGUGGCGAUGCGGUUAGGGGUCACACCCGUUUACAUCCCGAACACGAUGGUUAAGACCUAAUCGGCCGAUGAUACUAUGCUGGAGACGGCAUGGGAAAGCAGGUGGCUGCCGGGUU
This 119-nucleotide ribosomal RNA is filed under the name Pseudobutyrivibrio sp. NOR37. The record is from RNAcentral. Lineage: Bacteria; Bacillati; Bacillota; Clostridia; Lachnospirales; Lachnospiraceae.